GAUGAACGCUGGCGGCGUGCCUAAUACAUGCAAGUCGAGCGAACAGACGAGGAGCUUGCUCCUCUGACGCUAGCGGCGGACGGGUGAGUAACACGUGGAUAACCUACCUAUAAGACUGGGAUAACUUCGGGAAACCGGAGCUAAUACCGGAUAAUAUAUUGAACCGCAUGGUUCAAUAGUGAAAGACGGUUUUGCUGUCACUUAUAGAUGGAUCCGCGCCGCAUUAGCUAGUUGGUAAGGUAACGGCUUACCAAGGCAACGAUGCGUAGCCGACCUGAGAGGGUGAUCGGCCACACUGGAACUGAGACACGGUCCAGACUCCUACGGGAGGCAGCAGUAGGGAAUCUUCCGCAAUGGGCGAAAGCCUGACGGAGCAACGCCACGUGAGUGAUGAAGGUCUUCGGAUCGUAAAACUCUGUUAUUAGGGAAGAACAAAUGUGUAAGUAACUAUGCACGUCUUGACGGUACCUAAUCAGAAAGCCACGGCUAACUACGUG
This 497-nucleotide ribosomal RNA is filed under the name uncultured bacterium. RNAcentral's name for it is "partial 16S ribosomal RNA". It matches the Rfam family "Bacterial small subunit ribosomal RNA", at positions 28 to 507 of the family's 1533-position model. The record is from RNAcentral.